Long non-coding RNA from Physella acuta, 435 nucleotides. RefSeq lists it as uncharacterized. The record is from RefSeq and is a predicted model, not a curated record. NCBI's taxonomy places the organism in Eukaryota, Metazoa, Mollusca, Gastropoda, Physidae.
CUAACAGUCCGUGUUGAUAAUUUCAGUUUAGUAGACUACCAUAACUAGUUAUUAUUUGUGUCAAGAUAUUGAUCUAAAGUUCUGUACGUCUUAAAAUUUUCUUGUUUGCAGUACUAUCACAAUGGCACAUCAAGAAAACUUCAAUUUUCACACACAAAAUGGAUGGAGUUUUUCUCCCAUUACAGACAAUACAGAUAGAACUAGUAGCAACAUCCCGAUGUUCAGCCUACAUUCUCCAUUUCAACCGAUUCAUAGAGCUGGCAUAACUCCAUGGAGUCAACAUUCAGGUAUUGGAUUUGUUUCUACAAAAUAUUUGAAGCUAAUAAUAUUUUGAUGAAUGUUGAAAAUAAACUAUUUGUCUCCAUAUUUAAUAUAUAUCUAUUCUUACUAUGGAAACAGGUCAAACAAAGAGGGUUUAUUUUAUUCAUUUUUGUG